This 26140-nucleotide long non-coding RNA is filed under the name Vitis vinifera (wine grape). RNAcentral describes it as "long non-coding RNA (VVIN_LNC001392)". The record is from RNAcentral. Lineage: Eukaryota; Viridiplantae; Streptophyta; Magnoliopsida; Vitales; Vitaceae.
GGUGGCUUCUCUCCCUUAGGUGGUUUGCCAACUGGGGUUGGUGGCUUGUAUGAGUCUUCAGCAUUCUCAGCAGGAGGGUGACCAGGGUUGUGACCAUAAUGUGGUGGCUUCUCUCCCUUAGGUGGUUUGCCAACUGGGGUUGGUGGCUUGUGUUCUGGGAGUGGCUUCUCCCCCUUGGGAGGUUUUUCCAAUGGGGUUGGUUUGUGUUCAGGAGGUGGCUUCUCCACUGGAGGCUUGUGUUCAGGAGGUGGCUUCUCCACCGGUGGCUUGUGUUCAGGAGGUGGCUUCUCCACCGGAGGCUUAUGCUCUGGUGGUGGCUUCUCCACCGGAGGCUUAUGCUCUGGUGGUGGCUUCUUGAAUGGGGGAUGCUGAGGGUAAUCAGCAAGUGAGGGGGCGGUGAGAACCACCAGGCCAAGCAACACCACUAGCAAAUAUGUAGGAGACAUCUUUGGGUUUGGGCUCAGAUGGUGCAAAACUAGGAGAAUUGGCUAGCCUUUUAUAGCGGAUCGUACUCAAUAAUGAAAUGACACGUGUCAUUAUGACCCAUGUGUAAUGGGGUCGAUUUGGGUCCUACAGUGUUGAAAACUUCGACAUCCAGUUUUGGCCUUUUGCUUUCUCUACAGCCGCCUUGCUUUUUCCCUCUUUCCUUUUGUUUUCCUCCUGCCCCAUUCUAUCAACUAAACACAAUUAUGUAGUUGUUUAAUUCUUAAAUGAGAUAUUAUCGGUCAAUCGUAUUAUAUUUUAUCAAGAGAGAACGGAGUGCAAUGCAGCUGUAAUUUUAUCGUUUACUUUUAUCUCUUGGACCACUGCAUUUUUGUUAAGAGGUGCAAUAAUACACGUCUUUAUCUGCCAUUCAAUGUUUACAGUAAAGAGAGGGCACAAAACUCUUCACUGCUCUGCAUGUGUCCCAAAAAUGCGAUUGGACAAAUUAUGAUUUGCAUGCUAAAAAGAGGCAAAUGAGGUUAAUUCGCACCAUAAUUAUUUGGUUUUCUGGACACCAUAAAAAGAUGUUAUACAGGCAGGGAAAAACCUUCAGAGUUAGCUACCAAAGAUAAUUAUCAAGCAGAUAUCACCAAGAGAAUUCCAUAGAGUCUGAAUCAAAGACAGAUUGCUCGCUCGUGGGGGUUCUUACUUUCUUUUGGGUAUAACUCACUGAGGUCACUGUCUUUUUUAUUUGCAUUUCACAGUUAGAGUUCUGCUCUGGAAGGUUUGUUCUGGAAACAUAUAAAAGGAGCAUCAUUUUGUUCUUGGGUAACCCAUAGUCGUGAGUGGGUCCAUUUGCAUGCUACUUAGUUGAAAAGUUGGACAAUUUGCUCCGACGCCUACCUCCUGGAUUCCAUGCUCGGUAAAACAAGAAUAAAAAAAAAUAUAUAAUUUACAAAUGGGGGAAAGAAAAAAUGUCGGAAAAAAUAGUAAAAUUCAUGUCACAUGCUAGUGAGAGAAGGGGUUGUUACACUCACUCGAAGUUCUUUUCAAAAUAUCGAAUGGUAUUUUACUUUAUGUGUCAGCGCAGUUGUGAAUGGAACGUGCAAAAGUCCAAAUUGGCGUUUUUAUUUUUCCCAUGUAGGAUGGUGACCUUUAAUAAAUAUUUAAAACAAAAGACGAAAAAAAAAAGGAGGGAAAAGGGAUCACAAAAGAUAAAAUAAUGUUUACAAAAGCUCAAUUAGUUUGCAAAUUACUGUUUGGAUUUUGAUAGUAUUUUAUUUGUCGUUCUAUAUUUGAUGUAAAAGAGAAUUUAAGAUAUUUCCGAAGCAAAAGCAUUAGUUUGCUCUGUGAUGUCCCACAUCGAAUAGGGGAGAAAGUUUCUGGCGCUAUAUAUGUAGAGGCUCCUCUUAACCAAGUAGAUGCGUUUUAAAACCAUGAGGGCCCCCUUAGGUCCAAAGCGGACAAUAUCUACAUGAUUGGGUGUAAGUCAUUACAAAUGGUAUCAGAGCCGAUCCCCGACCCCGGUGUGGGGGUUUGUUUGGCCCUGUAAGGGGUGUUUGUCUGUUUGACCCCACAAUCCCAUGGGACACAACGAGGACGUUGUGUCUGCAUGGGGGGGCGUUUGUGAUGUCCCACAUCGGAUAGGGGAGAAAGUUCCUAGUGCUAUAUAUGUAGAUGUUUCUCUUAACCAAGUAGAUGCAUUUUAAAAUUGUGAGGGCCUCUUUGGGCCCAAAGCGGACAAUAUCUACAUGGUUGAGUGUAAGUCAUUACAUGCUCCAUGUCAAUUUCAGCAUUUCUCAUAUGUUUCACACAUACACAGAAGAGCAUCGUUUUUUAAAGCAUGCAUUUAUGUUGGAUUAAUUUGGAUUUUGUGGGAACUGGGGCAAGGAUCACAUGGAAGAGAGGUUGACUUUUUUCAGUACUUCAAUGGUUGAAAUAUGUGAAGGCUUGAUUGAUACUAAAGCUUGAAAUUGCGACUCUGUCAUUUGUAAAAAAAUAUGACAGCUUCCAUGCUCUCGUUUGGUUGCAUUGUCCGGUCGAGAGGUGCAAAAAGCAUUCUCUCUCUUCUAAUAGUCUUUUCGUUUAAAUCAAGGGAUUUGCCUUCCCGGUCGAGGUCCAAUAGAGGGUAACGGUCACCUACUAAACAUUAAAUGCUCCAACAACUAGUGAACUGAUCGACCCCAGCUCGACUAGUUGAGGUUACUUUUUGGUUUUCUUGUCUCCCGAGGUUAGAAACCUAUAAAUAGAGAGCUUCACUUCAUUUAUGAGUAAGAGAACACCUAAAUUUAUUUGUUUACCUACUUGUUUUUGCCAUAAAAGCUCUCAUUUCUUUUCUUGGUGUAUUAAAUCUCCAUUUGCAUAUCCUUUAGUGCACCUUUGUGAUUCAUUCUAGCCUUGAGUUGUAUUUAAGCCUUUGUUGAGCUAGGUUGAGAGUUUCAUACUUGUUUAUUGAGUGUUAAAGCCUUCAAGUGAGUUAAAACUUGAAGAGAUUGUGUAAGAGCCCAUUGGAGUCGGAAUCCAAGUGUAAAGGUGAUUAAAAGCUUGGUUGAAGCUUCAAGUUAGUGGAACUCUCACUCGGUUAUGAGCUUGAGAAGAGUGGACAUAGACAAGGCAGUGUCGAACCACUAUAAAAUCUGAGUUUGAUUUCUCUAACCUUAUCUCUUUAUAUUUGCUUCUCUUGUGCUUAAAUUUUUUGUGUUUAAAAAGAAUUUUUAAAAACUCAAUUCACCCCCUUCUUGGGAGUUUUUCUCUUUUAAGAUCAGCUUUUAUUUUCUCAAUUGGUAUCAGAACUAUGCCUCUUGUUUAAGACUUAAUCGUCUAAGAGGAAAUGGCUAAUCCAUCAAGUUCAUCUCACAUUGAAAGUUUUGCAACCAAUAGACUUCUUUUUUUUUUUUUGCGGGAACUGAUUAUCCCUAUUGGAAAACUAAAAUGACUUGGUUUUUACAAUCAAUUGAUUUAGAUGUAUGAGAUGCCAUUGAAGAUGACCUAACUUUUCCUUCAAAACUAGUUGAUGGAGUCAUGGUUCCAAAACCUAAGCAAGAAUGGGAUGAGCGUGAUUGAAGAAAUUUUCAAUUAAAUGCUAAAGUCGUUUAUACUUUGCAAUGCUCUAUGGACAGAAAUGAAUAUAAUAGAAUAUGUCAAUGCAAAUCGGUUAAAGAAAUUUGGAGAUUGCUUGAAAUAACUCAUAAAGGAACAAAUCAAGUUAAAGAGUCAAAAAUCAAUUUACUUGUUCAUAGAUAUGAAUUGUUUUUUAUGAAAGAUAAUGAAACUAUUGUUAAGAUGAUCACUAGGUUCACCAACAUUGUUAAUGGUCUUAAAGCCUUGGGAAAGACCUACAAGGAAUCCGAAAACGUGAUGAAGAUCUUGAGGUCACUUCCAUCAAAGUGGCAUACCAAGGUCACCGCAAUUUAAGAAGCAAAAGACUUGAUCAAGCUACCUUUGGAGGAGUUCAUAGGGUCAUUGAUGACAUAUGAAAUCAAUUUGGCAAAGAAGUAACAAAAAGGUGAAGACAAAAAGAAGAAGAACAUAACUCUCAAAGCUACAACUAAGGAAGAAGAAGUUGAAGAAGAAAAACAAAUUGAAGAAGAUGAAGAUUUAGCCCUCAUCACAAGAAAGUUCAACAAAUUCAUGAGGGGUGAAAGGUUUAGAAGAAGAAGGUUCACUUCUAGAAGAGACUUUUCUAAAAAGGAAUCUUCAUCUAAUGGUGACAAAAAGAGAUGGGAAGAGAAAAGAGACUUGGUGUGUUUCAAGUGCAAGAAACCGGGACACAUUAAAUAUGAUUGUCCUCUCUACAAAAGUGAAGUCAAGAGGAAAAAGAAUAAGGCAAUGAUGGCCACUUAGAGUGAAAGUGAAGAUGAAUCAUCCGAAGAAGAAAAUGAGAAAGAAGUGGCAAACAUGUGUUUCAUGGCAAUAGAUGAACUUGAUGAGGUAAAAUCUAACCUUAGUGAUUAAGAUAUACAUGAUGCAUUUGAAGAAUUGUAUGAGGAUUUUUAAAAACUUAGUUUGAAAAAUAUUUCUCUUAAAAAGAAAGUUCAACAACUUGACAAAGAACUUAGAGAAGUAAAAGAAAAAUUUUCAAAUGUUAAAGUUUCUAAAACUCAUCUUGAAAAAGAAAAUGAGAUUCUAAGAAAGAAAAAUGAAUAGUUGAACUCCUCUCUUUCAAUCUUUUCUUCUAGACAAAAAUCUUUUGAAAUGAUUCUAACUAGCUAAAAAUGUGUUUUUGACAAACAAGGGUUAAGAUUUAAAUCUUCAAAAAAUCAAAAGUAUUUUAAAAACUAUUUUGUAAAGGAAUCCACAAGUGCAAGUCCUUCCACUACUUGCAACUUUUGUGGAAGAGAAUGGCACAUUAGUAGUACGCCCUUUAAGAAAUGGUUCUCAAAAGAAUUUAAAUGCAAAAACUAAAAAAGAUUUGGAUUGAGAAAUCCAAGGUCACUAACCCUCAAGGACCCAAAAAGAUAUAGGUACCUAAAUCAACUUGAGUUUUAUGUUGUAAGGUUCAAAGAAUGAUAAGUGGUUCUUAGAUAAUGGUUGCUCAAGACACAUGACCGGAGAUGAAUCCAAGUUUGCUUUUCUUAAAAAGAAAAAUGGAGGAUAUGUUACCUUUGGAGACAAUGCAAAAGAAAGGAUGAUUGGUCAAGGCAACAUUGGUAAUGGCACAUCCUCUCUCAUUGAAAGUGUUUUAUUAGUAGAUGGUUUCAAACAUAACCUUUUAAGCAUUAGUCAAUUUUGCGACAAAGGUUUUUAAGUGAUUUUUUAAGCAUCUCAUUGCAUCAUCAAGGAUAUUCAAAAUGAUAAAACCAUUUUCAUGGGCCAUAGAUGUGAUAAUGUUUAUGCUAUAAAUAUUUCAAAAUAUGAUGGCCAUGAUAGAUGUUUUUCAAGCAUGCAUGAUCAAAGUUGGUUGUGCCAUAGGAGAUUGAGACAUGCUAACAUAGACCUCAUUUCCCAACUCAACAAAGAUGAACUUGUUAGAGGCCUUCCCAAAAUAAUUUUUUAAAAAGAUAAAGUUUGUGAAGCUUGUCAAGUGGGAAAGUAAAUCAAAAACUCUUUUAAAAACAAAAACUUCAUUUCCACAUCUAGGCCACUUGAGUUGUUGCAUAUGGAUUUAUUUGGUCCCUCUAGGACACCAAGUCUUAGAGGAAAUUCUUAUGCAUAUGCUAUUGUGGACGACUUCUCUAGAUACACAUGAGUCUUGUUUUUUAGUCAAAAGAAUAAAGUUUUUUAUGAGUUUUCAAAGUUUUGCAAUAAGAUUCAAAAUGAAAAAGGUUUUUCAAUUACUUAUAUAAGAAGUGAUCAUGGGAGAGAAUUCGAAAAUAUUGAUUUUGAAGAGUAUUGCAAUGAGCAUGGAAUUGACCACAAUUUUUUGGCUCUUAGAACUCCUCAACAAAAUGGGGUAGUUGAAAGGAAAAAUAGAACUCUUCAAAAAAUGACAAGAACCAUACUAAAUGAAAACAACUUACCAAAAUAUUUUUAGGCCAAAACGGUUAACACUUCUUGUUAUGUUUUAAAUAGAGUAUUAUUGAGGCUCAUACUUAAGAAAACUCCCUAUGAGCUUUGGAAAAACAAAAAACCCAACAUUAGUUAUUCCAAAGUCUUUGGAUGCAAUAUUUUAUAAUAAACACCAAAGACAAUCUUGGAAAAUUUGAUGCAAAAUUGGAUGUUGGAAUUUUCCUUGGUUACUCAACUUCAAGUAAAGCUUUUCGAGUUUUAACAAAAGAACCAUGGUUGUAGAGGAGUCCAUCCAUGUUAUUUUUUAUGAAUCUCCAAGAAAGAGAGAGGAUUGAUGAUGAUUUAGGUUUGAAGACCUCUAUAGGAAGAUUGCAAAUCGAAGAUAGAAGACAACAAGAAGAAAAUGGAGAGAAUCCAAAGAAAGAAGGAUCACCAUUGGCACUACCCCCUCAUCAACAAGCGCAAGGUGAAUCAAGUCAAGAGCUUCCUAAAGAAUGGAAGUUUGUCAUCAAUCACCCACAAGAUCAAAUUAUAGGCAAUCCAUCUAGUGGGGUAAGAACUAGAUCCUCUCUUAGAAAUAUUUGCAAUAAUCUAGCUUUUAUCUCUCAAAUUGAGCCUAAAAAUAUAAAUGAUGUUUUAGAUGAUGAAAAUUGGAUAAUUGCAAUGCAAGAAGAGUUAAAUCCAUUUGAAAGAAGUGGAGUAUGGGAAUUAGUACCAAGACCUUCAAAUCAAAGUGUUAUUGGAACUAGAUGGAUCUUUAGAAAUAAAAUGGAUGAAAAUAGCAUAAUUGUUAGAAAUAAAGCAAGAUUGGUAGCCCAAGGUUUUAAUCAAGAAGAAAUGAUAGAUUAUGAAGAAACCUUUGCCCCCGUAGCUAGGUUGGAAGCCAUUAGGAUGCUACUUGCCUUUGCAUGUUUUAAAGACUUUGUUUUAUAUCAAAUGGAUGUGAAAAGUGCUUUUUUAAAUGGUUUUAUAAAUGAAGAAGUAUAUGUUGAACAACCACCCGGUUUUCAAAGUUUCAACUUUCCUAACCAUGUUUUUAAACUUAAAAAGACACUUUAUGGUUUGAAACAAGCACCUAGAUCAUGGUAUGAAAAAUUGAGUAAAUUUCUUUUGAAAAAAAUGUUUUAAAAUGGGAAAAAUUGACACAACUCUUUUUAUAAAAACCAAAGAAAAUGAUAUGCUCUUAGUUCAAAUAUAUAUUGAUGAUAUCAUUUUUGGUGCUACUAAUGUCUCUCUUUAUGAAGAAUUUUCUAAGUGCAUGCAUAGUGAGUUUGAAAUGAGCAUGAUAGGAGAACUCAACUUCUUCCUUGGACUUCAAAUCAAGCAACUAAAGGAAUGAACCUUCAUCAAUCAAGCAAAGUAUAUAAGAGAUCUUCUCAAAAGGUUCAACAUGGAAGAAGCCAAAACAAUGAAGACUCUAAUGAGCUCAUCCAUUAAGCUUGAUAAGGAUGAGAAAGGUAAAUCCAUUGACUCUAUUAUGUAUAGAGGCAUGAUAGGUUCUUUGCUCUAUUUGACCACUAGUAGACCUUACAUUAUGUAUAGUGUGUGUUUGUGUACUAGAUUUCAAUCUUGUCUUAAAAAAUCUCACUUAAGUGUCGUGAAAAGAAUCCUCAAAUAUUUGAAAGGGACAAUGGACAUAGGCUUAUGGUAUCCUAAGAGUGAUAACUUUGAAUUAAUUGGUUUUUUGGAUGCUGAUUUUGUCAGUUGUAGGGUUGAAAAAUAAAACACUAGUGGCACUUUUCAUUUCUUAAGACACUUACUUGUCUCAUGGCAUAAUAAGAAGCAAAAUUUGGUAGCUUUGUCAACAGCAGAAGCUAAAUACAUAGCAACUGGUUUAUGUUGUGCACAAAUCCUUUGGAUGAAAUAAACACUUAGUGAUUUUGAUUUAUCUUUUGAGCAUAUUCCUAUUAAAUGUGAUAAUAGUAGUGCCAUAAGUAUAUCAAAAAAUCUCGUGCAACACUCUAGGACUAAGCAUAUAGAGAUUAGACAUAAUUUUCUUAGAUAUCAUACACAAAAGGAUGAUAUAACACUUGAAUUUGUAAGCAUAAAAGACCAACUUGCCGAUAUCUUUACAAAACCUCUAAGAACAUUUUGUUGAUAUUAGAGGACAAUUAGGAGUGAUUUCUUUAUGAUCUAAUGUGAUGAAUUCUUGAUGAAUAUACUUUUUGAUUGCAUGAAUUUCAUGUCAUAUAUGCAUCAUAUAGAAAUAUACUUAGAUAAUGGUCAAAUUUCGACCAAAAAUCAAAAUUCCCAUGGCAUUAGGCAUAAAAAUUUUGGAAUUUCAACUGAAAAUGGUAGGAGGAGGAUCACAAAAUGAGAAAGUAUGCAAAAAUUGAAAAAUCAAAACGUUGACCAAGCGGUCAAUCGGACUAGACCGAUCGACUAGUUUGUCGAGAUUUAGGAUUUUUAAGAGACUCCAACGCUUCAAUUUUUGCACCGUUCUCCUCUAUUUCUUCACGGUUUCUCUGAUUUUGUCUUUUAGAGACUAAUUUGAGUGCGUUUUGGAUCAAUUGAAGCAUUUUGGAUUGGAUUUUAGGAAGAUUGAAAGUUAAGGUUUCGGAUUUGGGUCGCCUUCUCUUCCUCUCGCGUGUCACAAUCAGCUUUAGCAUUGUUCUCUUUCCAUUUUCACACACCUAGGGUUUCAGUUGUGAGCAUCUCUCUCUCUUUACCAACCACUACUCCCUUGCUUCUUCCAUAUGGCUCCUAGGCGAGAGUCCGCUACUUCUAGGGCACAAGGCAAGCACCCAACUGAGUCGUCUCAGUCAAAGGCACGUCGAAAAGUGAGAUUUGACAUUGCCUUGUUCAGUUCCAUGGAGGACUACCAACUAUACAAGCAACACUUUGCUUAGAGACGAGUAGUUCCCAAGAGAAAUAUUAAUUUUCCUCAACUUCAGCAUUUCGAAUUUAAGGGUCUAUUUACUAGGAUGGUUGGUUGUCUAUUGUCACAAUUUCGGAGCCGGUUUUCCUGACCUUAGUGCGAGUUUUUUACUCGAGGGCGACUUAUGGCAUGGGUGGCAUGAUCAUUUCUACUGUUGGAGGAGUUGAGAUCUGUCUGGACCCAGAGAGCAUCUGCCAUAUUUUCGAUAUUGCUCUGGUUGGACUCAAAGUAUACAAGUCCAAAAUGUGGCCCAUUGUGCCAGGAUUUGAGCUUAGAGAGGUCAUUCAGAGGAUUUGUGAACUUCCAGACGCCCAGGAGAUGGGCAAACCAUUGCCACACAGUUUGACGGUCAUCAACAGGGUGCUACACCAUAUAUUGUGCUCUAUCUUUCUACCACGAAGUGGACAUUGAGAUGAGGUCUCUUAUUAUGAGGCAUUCCUUAUUGACUCCAUUCUAACGGAGAGACGAAUUCAUCUACUAUGUCAUCAUUCACUAAGCCUCCUCACAGUGACAUACCACCUCAUCAGGCACCUCUUGCUCCUGACCAUGCUCCAUUGAUGGAUUUAUUUACUCAUAUUAGCUCUCUAGGCACUCGCAUGAAGGAGUUUGUUGUAGUUAGUGAUACAUGGUUCUACUCCAUAGAGGAUCGCAUGGAUCAGUAUCAGACUGGCUUCACGUCACAGUUUGAGUAUCUCCAAUAGAGGAUUGAGCAUAUUGAGGAUCACUUGAGCAUGAGAAGAUGAUGGCUUUUCUAUGCUCUGUGUUUCCACCUCCACCUCGUCAACCUUGAUUUCUUAGAGACCCAUUGUUUUCAUUUUGUAAUGUUGCCAAAAGGGGGAGAUAUUUAGGAUCUAGGACUCUAUAGGAGACUUACAUGCAUAUCAUUUUCAUAUCAUUGUUUGGAUCGUACAUAUUGGAUAGUGAUACUUUUUACUUAUAUAUGAUAUGCCUAUAUGUUUCAUGUCUUACAUUGUUUCUUAUUGCAAAUUAUCUCUAACAUGUCUUGAUUAUCUUUUUUUUAACUUCAUAAAUUUUGAUUGUUAACCCAUGAUUGGUUUGAGGGGAAGAUUCUUCUUCUCCUAGAUAACCAAGGUUUGUCAUCAUAAAAAAAUUGGAGAUUGUUAGCCCAAGGGUUCUCCUAAUCAUGUUUUGAUGAUAACAAACCAUGCUUAAGUUACUAAUUGGUUUGAAUUAUAAAGAAUUUCAAGUGUUAAUUUGAAAAUUCAUCAAAGAACCUAAUGGAUGCAAGAUCAAGAUUUUUGGAAGACCUUUAAUCAUAAGAAACAUAUGUAAGAUGAAUGCAUGGGUGCACUUAAGAUUUGCAUAUCAUUUCAUGCAUAUUUGGAAAACACGGUUUAUGCUUUAAAGUUACAUUUCCAUCAAAAUUUGAGAUCCAUCAAAUGAACCUUAGGAAAAAUGUUUUAAAAUUGGCAUAUAAUUUUACCUAAAGACCUUGCCUAAGUGUUAGAAGCAAAAGGACAAAAAAAAUAUAGGUUUUCUGGUCAAAAAUGGUGAACCAGUCAAGGCAUUGUCUAAAUCAGCUCAAUCGGCCAAGGUACCGGUCGAUCGGUUUCCCUUUCCCUGUCGAGAUCUAGUCAAGAGGUACAAAAAUCACAAUCUCUGUCUCUUUCUCUCUUUGUCUAUCUUCCAGUAGUCUUUCCUUCCCGGUCGAGGGAUUUGCCUUCCCGAUUGAGGUCCGAUUGAGAGUAAUAGUCACUUGCCAAAUAUUAAAUGCUCCAACAGUUAGUGAACUGGUCGACCCCCACCUUGCCCAGUUGAGGUUACUUUUUGGUUUUCUUGGCUCCCGAUGUUAGAAACCUAUAAAUAGAGAGUUCCACUUCAUUUAUGAGCAAGAGAACACUUGCAUUUAUUUGUUUACCUACUUGUUCUUGCCUUAAAAGCUCUCAUUUCUUUUCUUGGUGCAUUAAAUCUCCAUUUUGAUAUCCUUUAGUGCACCUUUGUGAUUCAUCUUAGCCUUGAGUUGUAUUUGAGCCCUUUUUUUAGCUAGGUUGAGAGUUUCAUACUUGUUAAUUGAGUGUUAAAGCCUUCAAGUGAGUUGAAACUUGUAGAGAUUAUGUGAGAGUCGAUUGGAGCCGAAAUCCAAGUGUAAAGGUGAUUAGAAGCUUGGUUGAAGCUUCAAGUUAGUGGAAUCCUCACUCAAUUAGGAGCUUGAGGAGAGUGGACGUAGCCAAGGAAGUGUCGAACCACUAUAAAAUUUGAGUUUGAUUUCUCUAACAUUGUCUCUUUAUAUUUGUUUAUCUUGUGCUUAAAUUUAUUGUGUUUAAAAAGAAUUUUUAAAUACCCAAUUCACCCCCCUCUUGGGUGUUUUUCUCUUUUAAAAUUAGCCUUUAUUUUCUCACAAACUAUUGUAGUAUAGUGGUUUUUAGGUGUCAUCCAUUAGGAUGAAUUGUUCUCGGUAAUUAAGGCGUGAAUGAGAGGAGAAUUAAUGAUUGUGAUUAAGUAAAAUUGAUUUGAAAAUUCAUGGUGAAAAAUCAAUUUAACAAUGGUUUCUAAUUGAGAAAAACAAUGAAAUGUGAAAUAAAAUAAAAUUAAUAGGAAAUGAAAUUCUCGAAGUUAGAAUUUUCUAAAAAACAAAUUCCAUGGUGAAUGGAUGUUGAGAUCUAAUUUUCAUCAAGUUAGAUUGAAAACCGAAAUUUUCAUAUAAACUGAUUUUUUAUUUAGUUUUAGGUCUAGAUUUAAUUUCCCUUAAAAUUAGGUUAUUUAAUCCAAGAAAUCAAUUCAAAUCAUAUAUUCAAUUCAUCUUAAAUUAUCUUCCAAUUAUUCACACAAUGCAACUAUUCAAUCUCAUCAAAUCUAGCUUUUAAGAAUUUAAUGAAUCUACCUAGUUUGCAUUGUAAUAGUCAUCCAUGACAAUUUGAAGAGAAAAAUAAUUCAAUUAAUCAAUCACUUGGAUCAAAUUACCUUUGCAAUUAAAGUUCAUUUCUCUAAUUCACCACAGAUUUUGUCUCUAGAUCCUCCUUUCUCAAAGAAAAAUGAGAUUUAGCCACACAUGAUUGGAGAUUUGGUCUCAUAAGGCAUGUUUAGCUAGUGAUAAAAUGAGAGAAAAUAAAGAAAAAUAGAGAAUUCGAUUAAGAAAGAAAAUCUAAAAAAUUCUACAAUUAGAAAUGUCCAAAAAGCUUUUUCAUGAGAAAAUCAAGUUUCUAUUUAUAGGCCAAGGUCAAGUGGACACUUGACAUCAUCUAAGAGGUCUUCCGGAAGCUUCUUCAUCAAGAAAUCUGGAGUUUAAUAAUAAAAUGGUCAUUUCACAAGAGCUCAAACAAUUUCGCAUGAUUAUGUGAAAUAAAAAAUGCAACAACAGCAAUUUACAUCUUCUUGGAGCAUUUCGCAUGACUGUGUGAAAUUUUCACAUGAUCAUGUGGAAUCGACUUGACAACUCUCAUUUAGCCUACAACAUAAUUCCACCUUUUGGUCCAUUUUUCAUAGUCAUGCGAAAUGGAAAUAUUUGAUUUUUAAGUUUUCUUUUGUCAUUUCUUUCAUUUCCUUCUCUUGAUUCCACUUCAACUACCUCCGAAUCCUGGUCCAAACCAAUUGCAUUACUUCUUUCAUUAUGCAUUUGGAUCAUCAUCAACAUUAUUUGUUCUCUUCAAUUUGAUUCAUCUCUUUUGUCACCAAUUUAUCAAAAUCAUACCUUGAAAUGACUCCAAAACUUCAUAAAACUUGUUAGUAACUCUUGCAAGGGCAACAACAUAUUAAUUAAGUGUUUUAGGCAUAGUUACUACUCAAAAGAUGCGAAACUCAUGAUAAUUAUUAUAUAAAAUAUGCUCUUUUUGAGUAGUAAUCAACUUUCUUGCAUAAGCAGACCUUUUAGGGUGGAGUACUAAAGACCAAUAUGCUUGUCCUUGUUGUAAUAAAGAAACUUGCUCUUAUUGAUUGCACCAUGGGAGAAAAUUUUGCUACAUGAGUUAUCAUCAAUUUCUUCCCACCAAUCAUAGAUUUAGACGUGACAAGAGGCCUCUUAAUGGCAAGGAGGAACUGACACUCACACUUAUACAAUUAUCGGGCAUUGAUGUGUUGCAACAAUUAGAAUAACUUACACCAAUUAUGUUGGGGAAGUCACAAAAGGCAAACAUGAAAACUAAAAGGAAAAAAGAAAAAUGUUACAUAUCACCACAACUGGAAAGAAAAAAGUAUUUACUUUCAUUUGCCAUAUUGGAAAGCACUUAUUUUACAUCAUAAUAAUUUAGACAUAAUGCAUAUUGAGAAAAAUGUGUGACAAUAUAAUUGAGACAUUGUUCAGUAUUGACGAAGAAACAAGGACAACCUAAAUAGUCAUCUCGAUUUACAAGCUCUAACUAUUAGAAAUGAGAUUCACCCAAUAGAAAGCAGGACCAAAUUUAUUUUGCUUGCAACAUGCUACUCACUCACCCCAAAUGAGAUUAAGGAAUUUUGCAAGUUUUUGAAAUCAAUAAAGGUCCCCAAUGGCUAUUCUUUCAAUAUCUCUCGUUAUGUGCAACUCAAUGAAAGGAAGAUAUAUGAGCUCAAAUUGUAUGAUUGUCAUGUCCUAAUGCAACAACUUCUCUCACUUGUAGUUCGUGGAGUUCUACAUAAGAAUGUUUGUGGAGUUAUCAUAGAAUUGCGUAAUUUUUUCAAGCAAUUGUGCUCAAAGGUGUUAGAAACAAAUCACUUACACCAACUUGAGAACAAUAUUAUUGUCAUACUAUGUAAAAUGGAGCAAAUAUUUCUUCCAUCAUUCUUUGAUAUUAUGGUGCAUUUACUUGUGCAUCUAGUAAGGCAAAGGUUGCAAGACUUGUGCAAUAUUGUUGGAUGUACCUAAUUGAACGAUAUUGUUAUAAUUUCAUAUGAAUCAUUUAAUUUUAUUUUAUAUUAUGUUCAGUUCAUUAACAUGUACAUUGGUCUACAUAUGGAUGAUGAUAGGUACCUAAGCACUUUAAAGUCAUAUGUGCGUAAUAGAACUUUUCUAGAAGGUUCUAUUGUAGAAAGGUACCUUGCAAAAGAAUGUACAACAUUUUAUUCUAGGUACUUGAAUGAUGUGGAAAUAAAGUAUAAUCACAAUGAUAGAAACUUUGUUGGUUUCAACACUAGAGGAGAUGAAAGGGGUUAUCUUUAAACAUAUUGGACAUGCAUUGGGAAAGCCCAUAUUUCAUUAACUUAGUUCAAAAGAGUGGUCACAAGCACAUUUAUAUGUGUUGACAAAUUGCGAAGAUGUCAUACCAUUCAUUGAGUAAAAAAUUUAUUUGAAUUUUAAUUAAAGCUCUAGUUUAUAUCCUUAAUCAAUGUUUUUUAAAUUCACAAGGAGCACAAGCAAACCAUCAAGGCUAGACCACAUAUACGUGUUUGAGACGUAGAUUUAAUUCAUAACAAGGAAUUUAUCAAGUGGUUUGAAAGACAUGUAAGUAUAUUCCUUAUUAUAAGGGAUUUAUUUCACAUUAUGUUUAUAUUGAAUCCAAACCUAUUAUUGAAUUGUAGGUUGAACAAUUACAUAAUGAAGGUCAUAUAUCUGAACACCUUCUCACAUUAUCAUGUGUUCCAAAUUCAUUAGUUACAUGCUUCAAAUGAUAUAUUGUCAAUGGAUUUAGAUCCCACAUUAAAGAACGUGAUAAAAAAGUUUUUAAAAAAAGACUCAGAAUAAUGGAAUUGUUGUAGUUGCAAAAACGUCAAGCUUUACAAGUGCAUGUGAUAUGAGUCCAAUUAUUAGUGAUGCUCUCUACUAUGGUGUUCUAACUAAAGUUGUUGAGUUACAUUAUCUUGGUGAAAAUAAGGUUGUUUUAUUCGAGUUUGAUUGGUGGGAUGUUACAAAUAUUGGAAAAUUGAUAAAAGAUGAUGAGUACAAUUACACAUUUGUUAACUUUGCAUGAAUUCUAACCACGAACGAACGAUUUGUACUUGCAUCUCCAGCAAAGUAAGUGUUCUAUGUGAAGAAUGCGAAUGAAUCAGAUUGGCAUACUAUCAUGGAGAUGCAACCUCAAGACCUCUAUAAGAUGAACGGGAUAGGAUCCAAUGGUGAUUUUGAACCAUUUCAACAAAGUGAACUACAUGAUCACUAAUAUAUCUCAGAUUUAGUUGAUGAAGAUAUAAUCAAGUGGAACAAAAGUGAUGUUUUAGGACUAAUCAUCCUAAAAAAUAUUGUAGUUUCUUAAAAAAAAAAUGAAAAUGAAGAAGAUAAUUGAACCUUUGUCAUACUUUAAAAAGCAACUAUGCAUUGUUCAUUUUGUAUGUUUUGGUUUUCUUCAUUUAAUUUCCUGAUUUUUGUGAUUCAAUGUCAUAUUAUUGAUCUUGAAAUAUUUUUCUAAUUUUUCAUUCUACGAUGGUUUCAACAAGGAUGACAUCAAGUCAAAAAAGGAAAUGUGGUCCCACACACAAUAUUGCAUUACAGGGAUUAAGGUCAGGGAAGAAGGUAAAAGUUGCAUUUAAUGAGUACAAUCAAUUGGUUAAACAGAAAAAUGGAAAACACUUAUCGAGCUACAUAGGGACACUUGUAUCUAACCAACACAAUGUACCUCUCCAAGCUAGUGAUUGGAAAAAUGUUCCAAAUGAUGCAAAAGAGAAAGUAUGGCCUUUGUUUUGGUAUGUUGUAUUUCUCACUAUAUGAUGUCAUUUCACUGUUAUUCUAUUUUGUGACUAACGUUUGAAUCAUAUGUAAGAAAAAUUUGAAGUAGAUAAAGACUGAAAAGAUUACAUGUUGGGUAUAGCCUCAAAUAAAUAUAGAAGCUAUAAAAAUAUGAUGAAUGCAAAAUACUAUGACCCUUGGCAUAAGGAUGCAUGAGGAGAGGUUAAUACAUAAAUCACCAUUUGUCUCUGAUGUUGAUUGGAAGUGGCUUGUCUCUGAUGCAUAAACCAAAUCCCCCACUGAAUGUUUGAUAUUUGAUAGCAGGAAAAACACACCCGCAGCUAUACACCUCCAUCAUUCAGAUAAUUAUAGUGGGGGAGAUGAUUCAUGGUUGCCCUUAUACCCUUUAUUUGCACCAUCUAUUGAGAUUCUUUAUCAUGGCCAGGUUUUACUGCAGCAAUAAGAUAUGGUGGCAACAAUUUUAUCUAUAGGUGCGGUUCCAGACCGCCUCCAUAGGUGCGGUUCCUGACUGCCUCCAUAGGUGCCUCUUCUUGUAAUGUUUGUUCUGGGAAUUACACUUGAAAGCCUUAUCGUGAUAAGGGAUUACAAACACUAGUUCAGAGGACAGCCAUGUUAAACUUCCACUAUGUUUGUGUCACAUUAUCAGCAGCCUAGUGUUUAUUGGUCAUGCUAUCUGCAACUAAUAUAACCCGGUGAACUUCAAUCUAAAUUCUGAAAGUACUCAUGUGACAGAUGGUGCCUUUCAGCAGAUAUCAUCAAUUUAAAAGUAGUGUGUGUGCCUAUAGGUGGGAAGGCCUUGGCAAAUGUUCAGUAUUCCGGUAAUUCAAGAAGGAUAUAUCUAAAAUAGAUUUUCUUCUUGCCCAUUUCAAUAGUUAAAAUUUGAGAAGAUUGUGUCCACAUCACACAAAUAUUAUUGGUCCUUCUGUUGCAAUUUACCUCUGAACAUGUCUUCCAAUUCCCACGGUCCUGUUACUCCAGGAAAACUAUUUCGGUCAUAUUGAAAAAAAAAAUAUUAAAGAAGGUACACAUGCUUUUAAGUGGACUGGGGCAUUCAUAUCAGGUGGUCUGUAUCCACAUAUGCCACUUCGUGAAAGGUGGAACAGCCUAAUCACUAGGCUAUUUAGUGUGGCCCAGCCACGUUAAUCAAGCACAAGUCUUCAUACUUAAAGUCAAAUGGUGUCUUUAGUCUCAUUACACAUCGCUAUUUGAAGAUUAACUCAUCACUAGUGUAAUGCGAUUAAGACAGUCCUAACUCAAUAUUUGUUCUAGUUUUGGAUGCAAAUGCUUGCUGGUUUCAUCAUUGGAUGGGAUAAAGGUGCAAUCAGGACUAUGAAUACGUGCAGUAAUACUUCAUUCUCUUUUUUCUCAAUGAGACUUCUUGGCACAAUUUUGCUGCUCAGCAACCUACCUUUCCAUGGAAAAUCAGUUGUGACUGAUAGUAAUGGAUAUAUUCUAGAAAGCUAAACAUAGAUAGCAUUCAAUAUUAUCGAUAUAACAUUAACAGCGUAUGUCUCAAUGCUCAUCAGCUACAAGCAAUGGACAAACACUUUGAGUAACUCACAGCAGUCAAAAUUCCUAAACAGGACAGACGUGACAGAUCUAUAUAUAGAACACUGCAUAUGAGUCACAGGAAAAGAUAAUACGGGUACAUAGAAGCUCUUAUUUUACAUAUUACUCAUACUGAUCAAAGUCGCUCAGUUGGGAUGGAUGGGAGAAGGAGGUUUGAGGGGUGGCUUGUGCGGGGAAGUUGGCAGCUUCUUUCCGGGAGCUGGUUGCUUCUUUGCUGGAGUUGAAGGAGGCUUAAUCUUCCGAGGUGGCUUGUAUGAGUCUUCAGCAUUCUCAGCAGGAGGGUGACCAGGGUUGUGACCAUAAUGUGGUGGCUUCUCUCCCUUAGGUGGUUUGCCAACUGGGGUUGGUGGCUUGUUUUCUGGGAGUGGCUUCUCUCCCUUGGGUGGUUUGCCAACUGGGGUUGGUGGCUUGUGUUCUGGGAGUGGCUUCUCCCCCUUGGGAGGUUUUUCGAAUGGGGUGGGUUUGUGUCCUGGUGGUGGCUUCUCUCCCUUGGGAGGUUUACCAAUUGGGGUCGGUGGCUUGUGUUCUGGGAGGGGCUUCUCUCCCUGGGGAGGUUUAGUGGGUGGCUUGUGUUCUGGAGGUGGCUUCUCCACCGGAGGCUUAUGCUCUGGUGGUGGCUUCUCGAAGGGGGGAUGCUCAGGGUAAUCACCAAGUGAGGGGGUGGUGAGAACCACCAUGCCAAGCAACAACACUAGCAAGUAUGUAGUAGACAUCUUUGGGUUUGGACUCAGACAGUGCAAAACUACGAGAAAUCGCUAGCCCUUUAUAGCGGCUCGGACCUAAUACUGACAUAAUAUAAAAUAAAUAUUAUAUUUUAUCAAGAGAGAACAGAGUGUAAUUUUAUCAUUAAUACCGAUCGAGGCCAAAGAAAGAAGACCCAUAAUCCAUUUCCCACAAGCAUACACAAUGCAGCUGUAAUUUUAUCAUUUACUUUUAUCCCUUGGACCACUGCAUUUUUGUUGAGAGACACAAUAACACAUUUUUAUCUGUCAUUCAACAUUUACAGUAAAGAGAGGGCACAAAACGCAAUUAGAUAAAUUAUGUUUUGCCUGCUAAAAAGAGGCAAAUAACUUUAUUUGCAACAUAAUUAUUUUGGUUUCUAGUGACCCCGGGGCCUUUCGGUUGGUUUGGGAUCGGAAAAUGAACAUCAUAGGGGGGGUUGUGCCCUUAUGGGCAUAUAUAUCUGAUAGCUUCAACUGGCCUUGUUCCUAGAAAGAAAUUGCCAAAGAUAUAAACUUAUUCCAGGCUGAAAGUAGAUGAGAGUCAUAAUGAACAUCAACCUUUGUUCAGUUUGAUUCAAUGCCCCCAUAGUGUUCAUUUCACAGAUCUGAAUGAUUAUAUCCGUUGAAUACAUAAAUUAAUGAAGACAAAUAUGAAACCCAAGAUACAUCUCUGCAUAACAACCCCAACCCUGGUUGCUAUGUUUCCCUUCUUCUAUUCACAUGAGGAUACUGGUUAUAAUUGUCAAACUUGCAACAAGCCCUUUGACACCUAACGUCAAUGGACGAAUUAAAAGUCUCCUUCAAACGUCUAUUUCACAGCAUGAAGCUUAUAAAGGAUGCUGACAACCUUCAGAGUUAGCGACAAAAGAUAAUUAUCAAGGAGAGAUAGUUCCAUGAGAAUUCCAAGGAGUCUGAAUCAAAGACAAAUUGCUCACUCAAGGGUUCUUAUUUUCUUUUAGGUACAAAUCUCUUGAGUGUUGUUAAAGAAACACGUCACUGUCAUUUUGAUUUGCAUUUAACAUUUCACUUUUGUUCUGGAAGGUUUGUUCCGGAAACAUAUCAAAUGAGCAUCAUUUUCUUCUUCGGUGACACAUGGUCGCGAGUACGUGGGUCCAUUUUCAUGCCACUUAGUUGAAAAGUUGGAAAGAAAAAACAUGCCAACAAGAAGAUAGUGAGAGAAGGGGCACUUCAAGCCUUUAACAUGAACAAACAGUAAAUAAAAGAUGUUUCUCCACUCAUAAAAGUGUGUUAGAUAGCAAUAUAACGAAUCACAUCCAAAAUCUUUACUAGGCUCAAACAUAAAGAAGACUCAUUUUUAAGAAAAGAUAAAAAUGGCAUUGUCUGAUAGUAUCCAAUACACGAGAUGGCACUUAAUUUGUACAAGAUCUGUCAAUGCUGACGCACAUUUUCUGAUUAAAAAAAAACUGAUCAGUCAAAAGCAAUGAAGAGAAGUGAUGACAAUGAAUGAUGCUUCCAAUAUUUUCACCCCUUAUAGUGUUCUUCAUGAUUCAGAUAUAUAAUUGGAAAUAGAACAACCCUAUGCCAUACAUUCGUCUAAGUAUGGUGUCUAAUUUUUUGUGUCAGCGGUUGCGAAUGGAGCGUGCAAAAGUCCAAAUUGGCGUCUCUCCAUUUCCACAUAGGAAGGUGACCUUUAUUGACAAAUACCCAAUAUUUGUAGACAUUCCUUAAAUAUCAUAACUUCUUGUUGAUUUGAAAAUCAUUUUUCAACUACCAUGUUUUAAUAAAUAUUUUUUAAAAUGUAUUUUUAUCAAAGUCCACCAUGAUGGAUAAUAUUCACCAUGCAAUAAUUAAUAAAGUACAAACUAAGCGAAAUGAAAAGCAUUUUCUUUGCUUUGAGUUGAUUUUGGUUGCAUUGAGUUGAUUUUGGUUUCAUGGUUUUUUCAACUCUUAUUUUGAUUGGAAGAUGUCAAGAAAAGAAAACAUAAAGAAAAAUUAAAAGGGAAAAAAGAAGAAAAAUAAAAAAAAAUAGAUUUAAAAGUUAAUAAAUUAUUUUUUAUAUUUAUUUUAAUUCAUUUCACUUAUUUUUCUUUUACUAUAUAAAAUUUAAAUAAUUUAAAUUUUAUAAUUAAUUUAAUUACAUUUCAUUUUCUUCUAUAUUUAAAUAUUGGAAAAAUAUUUUACUUAAUAUUUUUUUCUUUAAUUUCUUUGGCAUUUUGGGAACCAAACUUAGCCUUUAAAAUAAAAAACAAAAAAAAAAUGAAAAUAAGGAGGGAAAAGUGAGAAAAGAUAAAAACAAUAUGUAAAGGAUUUGAAAAGUAUUAGUUUGUAAUUACUAUUUGGAUUUCAAUAGUAUUUUAUUUGUCUUUCUAUAUUUCAUGUAAGAGAGAAUUUAAGAUAUUCCCCAAGGCAAAGCAUUAGUUACCUGCAAUCAGUGGUGAUAAGGCUCCAAGCCAAUUUUGGGCCCCAUAUCUUAAGACAGUACAAUUUCCAUUUCAACAUUUCUGAUUUCUCAGAUGUUUCACAUACCACAGAAGAACAUUGUUUGUGAAAAUAUGCAUUUAUGUUGGAUUUUGUAUGCUGUGGGGACUGGGGCAAGGAUCAUAUGGAAGAGUGGUUGACUUUUUCUGUACUUUAACGGUUGAAAUAGGAUAAGCACGGGCAUUUGUGAGGCUUAAUUGAUUUUGAAGCCUGAAAUUGCGUUUCUGUCAUUUUGUCAAAAAAAUGGCAGAUUCCAUACUCAUAUGUUUGGCCUGUGGCCAUGUACAGAUGCCAUUUAGUGACCAGUUUGUAACUGUCAAUCGUUGCGUUUUGACUCUGCCUCAACAACAUCUGCCAUUGACGGGUUUUCAUACUUGCAAAUCAAAUAGUCUUUCGUCCCAUCAGGAAUUUCGGUUUAAAUAUUAUUAAGCAUACGUUUGGCUGACAAUCAUUAUCCAGUUCAUGAUUUGGUUUCUUACCCUUAAUCAAUGGUUUCUAAGUGAAUAUAUGUAGAAGGAAAUCCGAAGUGUAGACAGUAGUAUCGAUAACUCUCAAUAUUCUCUAUAUAAUAGAAUAAACAGCGUCAUAGUGAUCGUCGCCUACAAGCAAGGUACAAAUACCAAAACGAGUGACUCACAUAGACAUCUCCCAACAAGAUGUAGUAGUGACUGACACAUGGACACAAUUAACUCGUAGAAAAGGAUAAGACCAUUGCACAGCAGCUCUUAUUUUACAUACUACUUAUGCUAACCAAAGUCAAUUAGUUGGGAUGGGUGGGAGAUGGAGGUUUGUGCGGUGGCUUGUGGGGCGGAGUUGAUGGCUUCUUUCCAGGAGCUUCUGGCUUUUUCAUCGGAGCUGAAGGAGGCUCAAUCUUAUGAGGCGGCUUGUAUGAGUCUUCUUUACUCUCGACAGGAGGGUGGCCAGGGUUGUGAUCAUAAUGUGGUGGCUUCUCUCCCUUAGGUGGCUUGCCAACUGGGGUUGGUGGCUUGUGUUCAGGAAGUGGUUUCUCUCCCAUGGGAGGUUUAGCAAUUGGGGUUGGUGGCUUGUGUUCUGGGAGUGGCUUCUCUCCCUUGGGAGGUUUAGUAGGUGACUUGUGUUCUGGAGGUGGCUUCUCCACCGGAGGCUUGUGCUCCGGUGGUGGCUUCUUGGUUGGAGGGGGCUUGGGGUAAUCAGCAAGAGAUGGGGUGGUGAGAACCACCAGUCCAAGGAACAACACUAGCAAGUAUGUGGGAGACAUUUUUGAGUUUGGGCUGAUCAGAUGAUGCAAAACUAAAGCAUUACGUGACCUUUUAUAGCAUGUAGCUCCCAAUACCCACUAAGUAUUGUGGGGUCCAUUUGUGCCCUACGGGGUUGAAAACUUAGACAAUUGGGCAAGGACCCACCUGACUAUGGAGGACUAGUGAGGUGUGAUCAUAGCUUUAGGAUUUUUCUUCCUCUGCAGCCGUCGUGCCGUUGGCAUGAUUUUCUUAAUCUUAAAUAAAGGCAUAGUUAUAGAGUUGUUUAAUCUCUAAAUGGGAUUUUAUAUAUAUCUUCAGAUAGCCAUUAAUAUAUUUGAUGAAGAAAGAAAGACAAGUGCAUACAACAUGUAUACGACUAGCUUUCAUGGAGUUCAUUUAUGAUCAGUUUUCCUGUACAUGUAAACCAGGAUCAUAUAUAUGUUUCUGUUCCACAACUAUUUUGGAAUCUUGUUUAUCAGUUUUUAUCAUUAUAAUGUCACAUAGGCUGCCAACUUGGGCGCUAAAAGAACCAGUUGGGCUAGUUCGUUUCAGAAUUUCAAUGUGGAUUCAGGAAUUGUUUUGUAAGAUAUGCGAAAUAGUAGAGGGAUGAAUAGUGUUUCAUUAAUAAAAGUGUCCUGUAAAUUAGAAGGUGUCAUAGAAACUAUAAUCAAUAAAUAACUUUUUUUCCCCACGGGUGGUGUUUCUUGUGGGGAUCAGUGACUGGUUUAGGUUCACCCAAAAUGAGUUCAGACUAAAAUUGGUUUGAGUCAAUGCCGUGUCUCUUUUUUCCAGAAAUCAACUAUUUUAUGCAUUGAAUAAAUCAUACAAAGAAAAUAUGAACGCCCGCAAAACCUAAACCCUGGUUGCUAACUUUCUAUGUUUCAGUUCUAUUCACGCAAGAAUAUUAGUUUAAGUUUGGGAAAAAUGGCAACUUACCUAGUGAUUACUUGGUUUUGGUUUGCGACUAUUUACGCAACCAACCAUGAGUUUGACUUUAACGUCAUGGGUUGAAGCCUCCUACAGGAAGGGAGAAAGCUCCACAGCUAGCUCCAAAAGAGAAUUAUCACAUUGAUAGCUCCAGAGAUUCCCAAGGGGACUGAAUCAAAGACAAGUUCCUCACUUUUUCUUCUUUUGAGGCCAAAUAUGAACCAAGGAUCACACAACCUCAUUCAACUUCAUAAGUUUGAUUUCAUGCAGUUGAACACUGGGUGAAGGCCAUGACAAGAAUUGAUUCAAAAAUUCUAUCACUCUUUUAAGUAAUGGAAGAUUAUUAUCUCUGAUUGGCAUCACAACAGCACAUGCUCCUAGAUCUUUCUAGACACUCCAUGCAAUGAAAGCACAAUGGAUCUUGUAACGAUAGAAACUAAGCCAUGCUACAGUACUAGAUGAUGAGGUAAAACUAGUAGACACGGGUGGCAGCCUAUAUGGGAGGGACACAAGUCUAAUUGAUUUGCAUUUCAGCAUUAUAGAUAGGUAUGUUUUGGAAGAUUUGUUCUGGAAAUACCGCACCAAGUAGGAUUCUUUUUCUCUUUAGUGGGUCCACUUGCAUGCCAAUUAACGAGUUGAAAAGUAUGAGCACCUACCUCGUGCUCGUGGAACCGAAGGUCAGUGAAGUGGGGCUCCUUUUGGCCUCGUGUAAACUUGAUUCAGAAGUGAAGUUAAUAGUCUUCCAUUCAGAUGGAUACAUGGGAAUUUUUCUCUUUUAUUUAUUUAUUUAUUUUUUUUUUGUGUGUGUAUGUCAAAGGAUAAUGAAUGAAGCGCGUUAGCUUGUUUUCUGACUGGAACCGCAGAUGUCCAAAUUGGAGUUCCUUCAUUUCUUACUUAGGAUUGUUACAUGUAUAAACAAGGUAUAAGAAAUAUGCCAACGUGUCUUGAGGAGUUAUUGAUUAGAAAUAACAAGUCACCCGACUGUAGAGUUCCAAGAUUUGAAUCUUCAGACCCUAUAGCAGCCUCUGGGGUACGUGGCAUCCUAUAGCAUAUUAAUGAAGGCUUUUUCGAUUUAGACUUCACAAUACCAAUUAAUAUGUAUGCACAAAAUGGAGAUGACCCCAAAAAAAACAGAAUCGCCAUAGUUUAUGAGGUUAAGGUGAUUCUCCACUUAAUAUCUACAUUAGCUAAUUAUGUAAAUCAAAUGAACUUCUAUUUUUCCUUUUUUUUUUUGGUUUAUGUCAAAUAGUAGCCCAUAAUUAACCCAACCAUUAGCCUGUUUGAAUUGAUUUCACAUGCACAAUGUUGUAGUAGUUCAUAUUUUGAAUUUUAUUUUUACAAAGGUAGUUAAGGAAAAUGAAGUAUAAUAAUUAUAAAAGCAGACUAUAUACACUACAAUAAUUGUUAGAAUGGUAUCUCAAAUUCUAAUUUAAAAUAUUAUUUUUUGUAAAAGAAAUAUUAUAUAGAAUAUUUCCUAAUUUUAUAAAUGAUUAUAAUUAGAUCUUUAUAAAAUAAGGAAAGUUGGUAAGAAUAUCUUUAUAAAUAUUUUAGGUCAUGAGAGAAAGAAAUGGGAUAAAAAUGUGAUGAAGAGGUGAAAUAAGAGAGUUGAUUAGGAUAUAGAUGUGAAGAAGAAAGGGAUUCAAUAUAUAUAUAUCUUUCAAUUACCACAUUAAAACCCUGUGAACCUUUUAUAUGGUUUACUUUAUUUUUAUAUUCCUCCUUUAAUAUAUUUACAUUAAUGCUUCCAUUGGCACAACAAUAACGAAUUACAAAUACAAGCAACAAGUCCCAUGUUUUAUUACCAAAAGCAGGUAAAAUCCACCUAAUAUAUUACAAUAUAUUCAUCCAAUAUUUUAGACCAAUUCUUCACCAUAAAUAUCAUAAUGUGGCUUUUGUUCUUUCUUAAAUUUAAAUUGAAUUGUCUUAUAUCAAUUUGUUUGUGAUUUUUUCAUUAACUUCACUUUCAUUUGGUUAUCUUUGGUUUUUGAAAAGUAUUAAGGAAUUAAUUAACAAAAUAAUGUUAAGAAAAAUAAUUUUCUCUCUUUUGAUUUUGAUUUUGUAGUAGAAAAAUAUAAUUAAAAUUAUUUAAAAAGUAUGUAAUUUUAAAUUAUUUAAUAUUUAGAUAAAAAAAAUAAGUCUAAUGAGUUUAAAAUAACAUAUAAAAAUAAUUUAUUUAUUUUAAAUUUAUUUUUUAUUUUCCAUUAUGUUCUCUUUCUCUUUUACUUUUUCAUAUUUUUUCUUACGAAGAAUCAAACACAACCUCAUAUUAUAUGUCAAGUGUUUGUCUAUAUUUGAGCAAUGUUAGAUACGGCCAUGGAUUCAUCAAACUAAACUGAUUUUAAUAGAUACUUCACAAAUUGAUUUAUACACUAAAUCAUUGGAUAGCAAUGAUGCAUUGGAAUUAAACGUAGGAUGAAGCUCGAAGAACACUGUUUGUGUAACAACAUAUUUAUGAAAUUAUGCAAAGGAUGAGCUUCGGGGUAGUAGUACAAGGUCAUUAAUGGAGAGCCGUGUUAAACCUUGAUUGUGAUUGGAUUCCGUUAUCAGCAACAGCAACCUUGUUUGUAACCUUGAAAGUCAUUCUGUCCACAUCGAAACUCCAAUUUGACGUUUGUAAUUACCAUUCCUGGAGUGUUCCUUGAUUGAAAUUUAAAUAAUAAUUGCGGCCCACAAGGAAUAUUUUCGAUUCUGUGGGAAUUUGACAAGGUUUGUUAGAGAAGACUGGUGACAUGUUGACUUCAAUGGUUCAAAUAGGAGACGUAUGUGGAUUUGGGGGGUUUAAUUGAAACUGAGUCCCUAUGGCUUUUUAAUAUUUGCAUUGAGCAGUCUCCAUGUGACUUCCUAAUUCCCACCAACCCUCCUGUCCAUGCUGUGAAACUAAAUUGUAAUUUAUCAGCCUUUGUCAAUGGUUUCUAAAUUAAAGAUAUAGACCAUGCAUGUACUUUAAUAAAAGCAAAUCUAAAGUGUAGAUAGCAGCAAUGGUGACACCCAAUAUUCUCCAUAAAAUAGAAUUAGAAUAAGCAGUGUUACAUUGUUCAUGAUCACCUACAAGCAUACAAGAACUUCCAUGAAUAACUCAUAGCAAUUGCCAACAGGGCGUCGUAGAGACUCAUACAUAGAACACUAUCCACCCAGAGGAAAGGACAAGACCAGUGCGCUGCAGCUCUUAUUUUUCACAUGUAUACCACCACUCGUAAUAACCAAAUUCACUCAGUUGGGAUAGGUGGGAGAUGGUGGUUUGUGGGGUGGCUUGUGGGGAGGAGUUGGAGGAGGCUUUAUUUUCUGAGGCGGCUUGUAUGAGUGUGCAGGAGGAUGCCCGGGAGUGUGACCAUAAUGUGGUGGCUUCUCUCCCGUAGGUGGUUUGCCAAAUGGGCUUGGUGGCUUCUCUCCCUUAGGAGGUUUACCAAUUGGGGUUGGUGGCUUGUGUUCUGGGAGUGGUUUCUCUCCCUUGGUAGGUUUGCCAAUUGGGGUUGGCGGCUUAUGUUCUGGGAGUGGCUUCUCUCCCUUGGGAGGUUUGCUAAUUGGGGUUGGCGGCUUAUGUUCUGGGGGCGGCUUCUCUCCCUUGGGAGGUUUGCCAAUUGGAGUUGGCGGCUUAUGUUCUGGGAGUGGCUUUUCUCCCUUGGGAGGCUUGCCAAUUGGGGUUGGCGGCUUAUGUUCUGGGGGUGGCUUCUCUCCUUUAGGAGGUUUGCCAAUUGGAGUCGGCGGCUUAUGUUCUGGAAGUGGCUUUUUUCCCUUGGGAGGUUUGCCAAUUGGGGUUGGCGGCUUAUGUUCUGGGGGUGGCUUCUCUCCCUUGGGAGGUUUGCCAAUUGGAGUCGGCGGCUUAUGUUCUGGGAGUGGCUUCUCUCCCUUGGGAGGUUUUGUUGGUGGCUUGUGUUCUGGAGAUGGCUUCUCCCCUGGAGGCUUGUGCUCCGGAGGUGGCUUCUGAAAUGGCGGGGGCUUGGGGUAAUGAGCAAGAGAUGGAGUACUG